Molecule: long non-coding RNA, 1957 nt
Organism: Melanotaenia boesemani (Boeseman's rainbowfish)
Lineage: Eukaryota; Metazoa; Chordata; Actinopteri; Atheriniformes; Melanotaeniidae
Exons: 4
Source: RefSeq, a predicted model, not a curated record
GAGGUUUGAGGUUCCUCCUUUCUUUAGCCAUGGUCAUGUUGUGUUCACUUCCCCUUUCAUCUCUUCAUACCCUGUGAACACAGCUUUUCUUCUGAGGCUGAUCAGUGACAGGAGACGUUUCACAUUGUUUAACGCAGGUCUGGCUGCUGGAAAAAGCAGCUGCUCAUCCACAAACAUUAAAAAGAAGUGACAUGGAAGCUGGGCUUGGGCUGUUGCUGAUGCUCCUAGGAGUCUGUCAUGUUGCAGGUGUUGAAACUUACUGUGACGGUCGACAGAAUGGAGCUCAGUGUUAUGGAGUUCUGGGUGGAGCUGUGGUCCUCCGGCUGAUGGAUAACGCCUCACUAAUACCAGGAUAUGACUGGAACAAAGGAAACUUAGUAAUACUCAAAUGGAAAAACAAUGAGAUUGUAACAAAUACUCUAGAAAGACAGAGCACUUUUUAUUCCUAGUAAUGGAACAUUUAGGAUCAAUAAUCUGAAUGACAGUGUUGACAGUGGUGAAUAUACACUUAGAACUUUUGAUUCAGAUAAGAAGAUCACGAGAAGUCAGACUCUCCAGUUGACUGUUCAAGUUUCAGAAUAUAACCCCAUGCCAGUAAUUGCUGGAGUUCUGUCAACGCUGCUCAUCCUGCUUGCUGUUGGUGUCGCAGUCAUCUGGGCUCACAGGAAAAAACAGUACAACCAAGAGGAAGGAAGUGACCAGGAAGUGACUUAUGCUGAUGUCAGGAUGGUGCAACGUCAGGAAAGGAAGGUGGAGCAAAGGGUGGAGGGAGAGGUGGAGUAUGGCCAAAUUAAGUUUUCAGAGCAACCUCAGAGGACUGAACCAGUUAGAGAUGAUUUCGUGUUACAUGAGCUGAAGAAACGAACGAUUUGAUGUGCUCUGUUCUUUACAAGCACUGCAGCAGACGGAGGGAGGAGAUGAUUUCAAGAUGUCCAAAUGUGUUUCAACAGAAACGCACGAGUGUGUGACGAGUACAAUGCUUUCAUCUGUCUAACUCCAGACCGACAGCAUGAUACAGCAACUUAUGCAACAGUGUGAUACUUUGUUGGGAUGUAUUUAUAAACAUGUGACAAUCUACAACAUGACCCAGAGAUAUGGCAAGAACCUGCACUGAUAACAAUAUAAAAUAUAGAAUAUUCUACAUCUCACGGAGGAUGUUUUCUAAGUUUAGUUUUAUGCUCUUGUCUUCAGGGAAACAUAAAUAUAAAGGCCAAGGUUUAAAUAAGUAUAAUAUAACAACACUGAUAUUUAUGUAGAGUCCCACUUUCAAGACAGGAUAUAAAUACUGUUGCACAUUCACACAGAUCAUUCAUAGUUAAUAGGAAGUCACAUGAUUACAAGAAUGUUGACACACUAUAAAUACUUUGUGAUCUUGCAGCCAUCAGUUACACAGCUAUCAAAAGGCUGGUAACAGUAGAAAUGAUCACUGAGCGAUACCAAAUACUAAAGACCCAUGUGCUCAGUAAAGACAUUAUUCCAAGUUAAUAUCAACUAGCUCACUGACAGACCACAGUAUGUGAGGAUGCAUGGAUGUUAAUCAGAUGUGGUAGUCUGCAGCACGGGGUCCUGUAGGGGACCGUGCUCUCACUGUUCCUGUUCACACCUCAGACUGCAACUACAACUCCCCCCUCUGUCAUCUGCAGAAGAUCUCCGAGAGUACACCCAAUAUACAAUUCAGUUCCUGUCAACCCCAUCACCCUGUCUAUCCUCCUCAUCACACCCCGCUGCUUCCCACCACUCAAUCAUAUGUAAAUAACUCAUUAUCAUUUUGUAAAAAUUUCUGUUGCUAUUGUUGGCUGGCUGGCGGAAGGAUGGAUGGAUGGAAGGAUGGAUGGAUGGAAGGAUGGAUAUAUUUUAUACUAGAUGGAUGUACUUGUGAAUAAAAGAAUUAUUCAAUGUAUUUGUUUCCUAUCAAACAAAUCUUUAGAAGCAUAACAUUAAAAACCUCAAUUUGUCA